UACGUAGGUGGCAAGCGUUGUCCGGAAUUAUUGGGCGUAAAGCGCGCGCAGGUGGUUUCUUAAGUCUGAUGUGAAAGCCCACGGCUCAACCGUGGAGGGUCAUUGGAAACUGGGGAACUUGAGUGCAGGAGAGAAGAGUGGAAUUCCACGUGUAGCGGUGAAAUGCGUAGAGAUGUGGAGGAACACCAGUGGCGAAGGCGACUCUUUGGCCUGUAACUGACACUGAGGCGCGAAAGCAUGGGGAGCGAACAGGG
RNAcentral lists this ribosomal RNA (254 nucleotides) under uncultured bacterium. RNAcentral's name for it is "partial 16S ribosomal RNA". It matches the Rfam family "Bacterial small subunit ribosomal RNA", at positions 524 to 777 of the family's 1533-position model. The record is from RNAcentral.